UGCAGUCGAGCGGUAACAUUUCAAAGCUUGCUAGAAGAUGACGAGCGGCGGACGGGUGAGUAAUGCUUGGGAAUAUGCCUUAUGGUGGGGGACAACAGUUGGAAACGACUGCUAAUACCGCAUAAUGUCUACGGACCAAAGGGGGGGAUCUUCGGACCUCUCGCCAUUUGAUUAGCCCAAGUGAGAUUAGCUAGUUGGUGAGGUAAUGGCUCACCAAGGCGACGAUCUCUAGCUGGUUUGAGAGGAUGAUCAGCCACACUGGGACUGAGACACGGCCCAGACUCCUACGGGAGGCAGCAGUGGGGAAUAUUGCACAAUGGGCGCAAGCCUGAUGCAGCCAUGCCGCGUGUGUGAAGAAGGCCUUCGGGUUGUAAAGCACUUUCAGUAAGGAGGAAAGGGAUGUAGUUAAUAACUGCAUUCUGUGACGUUACUUACAGAAGAAGCACCGGCUAACUUCGUGCCAGCAGCCGCGGUAAUACGAGGGGUGCAAGCGUUAAUCGGAAUUACUGGGCGUAAAGCGUUCGUAGGCGGUUGAUUAAGCAAGAUGUGAAAGCCCAGGGCUCAACCUUGGAACUGCAUUUUGAACUGGUCAACUAGAGUACUGUAGAGGGUGGUGGAAUUUCCA
This 625-nucleotide ribosomal RNA is filed under the name uncultured bacterium. Its description in RNAcentral is "bacterial SSU rRNA". It matches the Rfam family "Bacterial small subunit ribosomal RNA", at positions 56 to 672 of the family's 1533-position model. The record is from RNAcentral.